RNAcentral lists this ribosomal RNA (251 nucleotides) under uncultured prokaryote. RNAcentral's name for it is "partial 16S rRNA". It matches the Rfam family "Bacterial small subunit ribosomal RNA", at positions 525 to 775 of the family's 1533-position model. The record is from RNAcentral.
ACGUAGGUGGCAAGCGUUGUCCGGAAUAACUGGGCGUAAAGCGCAUGUAGACGGCAUAGCAAGCCAAGUGUGAAAUUUAGGGGCUUAACCUCUAAACUGCGCUUGGAACUGCUGAGCUUGAGUGCAGGAGAGGCAAGUGGAAUUCCCAGUGUAGCAGUGAAAUGCGUAGAUAUUGGGAGGAACACCAGUGGCGAAGGCGACUUGCUGGACUGCAACUGACGUUGAGAUGCGAAAGCUAGGGGAGCAAACGG